Molecule: long non-coding RNA, 832 nt
Filed under: Olea europaea (common olive)
Lineage: Eukaryota; Viridiplantae; Streptophyta; Magnoliopsida; Lamiales; Oleaceae
Description: long non-coding RNA (OEUR_LNC010673)
Source: RNAcentral
GCAGCUCAAACGAUGGGAGAGGAAAGAGUGCAAACCAAACAGCCUCCCAGUUCUCCACAAAACGCAUGUUAAAGUUGGAGACACUGUAAAAAUCAUCUCUGGAAAUGACAAAGGUAAAACCGGAGAGGUUACAAGGGUUAUCAAGCAUAACAGCACCAUAGUAAUAAAAGAAAUCAACUUGAAGACAUAGCACGUGAAGAGCAGGGAAGAGGGAGUACCGGGCCAAAUAAUCAAGGUUAUUUUCUCAUCUCCAAUCUGUUAAAAACUUUAUAUUUUCUGUUGUCAAUCUCUUUGCAUCCAUGAAUUUAGAGCUUUUCUUGUUAUCUAAUUGUUCUGUAGUGCUCUAGUAAUAUAUGUCGUUUUGUUUCAGAUUGAGGCACCUAUUCACAGCUCAAAUGUAAUGCUAUACUCUAAAGAGAAAAACGUGGCUAGCCGAGUUGGUCAUAAGACCCUAGAAAAUGAGAAACGAGUUUGUUACCUCAUGGCACUUUAGUGUAUUCUUCCUAGAGAAUGUGAAACUAUGGAACUCUUGUGCAGCAUUAGCAACUUUACUCGGUUUACUUGUUUUAUGAAACAUCAUUAGUUGGUGGCGGAGCCAGCAUCCGGCGAGGGGCGCUGCUGCACUUGCUGGAUCCGUCUGAAGUUGUAGUUGCAGUCGGAAGCCGCCAGCUAGGGAAGAGGAAGAAAAAAUCACACCUGCGACAGGGCAAUAGGAAGAAGAUACCCACCUUUUUUUCCCCAGUUUUGGGCAUCUUAUUUUGUUUUUGUUUUUGAUUUUGUUUUUGAUUUUUAUUUUAUUUAUUUAUUUAUUUAAUAAGCCCAUACCCAAUAG